This 852-nucleotide ribosomal RNA is filed under the name Triticum aestivum (bread wheat). RNAcentral's name for it is "partial small subunit ribosomal RNA". Lineage: Eukaryota; Viridiplantae; Streptophyta; Magnoliopsida; Poales; Poaceae. The record is from RNAcentral.
AUGCCUUUAAGUCGUGCUUCAACAGGUGGGAGAUAUAGCCGCAUCGAGGGCGUUACAGAAGCAAAUGAAGCGUUGUUGAGGGACAUAAUCGCAGAAGGAAGUGAUGCCGUCUCGUUGUUUCUCAACGACACCGAUGGUCUGGAAGGAGAGGGUGAAGAAGCUGGCUACGGUGACCUAAUGCCGGUGCAAGAAGAAGAACAUGAGGACGGCUCCGGUGACCCAAUGCCGGUGCAAGAAGGAGACCGUGAUGAUGGCUUCGGUGACCGAACCGAGUCCGGCCAGCCCUCCGGAUCGAGCACAACUUCGGUAAAGAGACGAGGCCCGAAGAAAAAGUUGAGCUCGGAUGAAAAGUUUGAGAUCAUAGCAAUCGCGCCCGACGGCCAACCGAUUGAACCCCUCCAGACAAAGAGCGCAUUUGUUGCUCAGUGCGGGGUUCUGGUUAGGGACAAGAUCCCGAUAAUCAUCCAGCAAUGGUUUAAGCCGGCUAUAGAAGACCCUGAGGUGUCUUAUGUCAAUGAUAUGCAGAAAAAUGAUCUUUGGACUGAGCUGAAGUCAAAUUUCACCCUACCGCCAGAGGAUAAUCCAGAGAACCCAGUUAAAGAGCAAUUAAUCAAGUCUUUUGCUCUUAAGAGGAUGGCAGAACUAUUCAGGAGGUGGAAGAAAGAGCUGAAUAAGUUUGUCGAAAAUAAUGAGACACCAGAAUUCAAGGGCAGAUAUGAGAAGAUCAGAGAUCACUGGCCCGCAUUUGUGGCCCAACAUCGAAAAAGAGUAAGAAGAUGUCAGCGACAAACAAGCAAAAUGCUGCGAAGAAGAUGCUUCACCAUCGCACGGGGUCAGGUGGCUACCUCAUAG